GGCGGCGCGCUUAACACAUGCAAGUCGCACGAGAAAGGGAGCAAUCCUAAGUAAAGUGGCGCACGGGUGAGUAACACGUGGAUCAUCUACCUUUUAGUGGGGAAUACCUCUGGGAAACCGGAGACAAUACCGCAUAAGCCCGCAAGGGGAAAGCAGCAAUGCGCUGAAAGAGGAGUCCGCGGCCGAUUAGCUAGUUGGCGGGGUAACGGCCCACCAAGGCGAAAAUCGGUAGCCGGCCUGAGAGGGCACACGGCCACACUGGCACUGAAACACGGGCCAGACUCCUACGGGAGGCAGCAGUGGGGAAUCUUGCACAAUGGGCGAAAGCCUGAUGCAGCGACGCCGCGUGAGCGAUGAAGCCCUUCGGGGUGUAAAGCUCUUUCGACGGGAACGAUAAUGACGGUACCCGGAGAAGAAGCUGCGGCUAACUACGUGCCAGCAGCCGCGGUAAUACGUANGCAGCGAGCGUUGUUCGGAAUUACUGGGCGUAAAGAGUGUGUA
RNAcentral lists this ribosomal RNA (501 nucleotides) under uncultured Acidobacteriota bacterium. RNAcentral's name for it is "bacterial SSU rRNA". It matches the Rfam family "Bacterial small subunit ribosomal RNA", at positions 38 to 573 of the family's 1533-position model. Lineage: Bacteria; Pseudomonadati; Acidobacteriota. The record is from RNAcentral.